This 432-nucleotide ribosomal RNA is filed under the name uncultured bacterium. RNAcentral's name for it is "partial 16S ribosomal RNA". It matches the Rfam family "Bacterial small subunit ribosomal RNA", at positions 29 to 507 of the family's 1533-position model. The record is from RNAcentral.
AACGAACGCUGGCGGCAUGCCUAACACAUGCAAGUCGAACGAGACCUUCGGGUCUAGUGGCGCACGGGUGCGUAACGCGUGGGAACCUGCCCUUAGGUUCGGAAUAACUCCCCGAAAGGGGUGCUAAUACCGGAUAAUGUCUUCGGACCAAAGAUUUAUCGCCUUUGGAUGGGCCCGCGUUGGAUUAGCUAGUUGGUAGGGUAAAAGCCUACCAAGGCGACGAUCCAUAGCUGGUCUGAGAGGAUGAUCAGCCACACUGGGACUGAGACACGGCCCAGACUCCUACGGGAGGCAGCAGGGGGGAAUAUAGGACAAGGGGCGAAAGCCUGAUCAGCAAUGCCGCGUGAGUGAUGAAGGCCUUAGGGUUGUAAAGCUCUUUUACCCGGGAUGAUAAUGACAGUACCGGGAGAAUAAGCUCCGGCUAACUCCGUG